This 1187-nucleotide ribosomal RNA is filed under the name Candidatus Phytoplasma cynodontis. RNAcentral describes it as "bacterial SSU rRNA". It matches the Rfam family "Bacterial small subunit ribosomal RNA", at positions 187 to 1375 of the family's 1533-position model. Lineage: Bacteria; Bacillati; Mycoplasmatota; Mollicutes; Acholeplasmatales; Acholeplasmataceae. The record is from RNAcentral.
UGCUCAGUCUCUAUUUAAAAGACCUUUUUCGAAAGGUAUACUUAAAGAGGGGCUUGCGGCACAUUAGUUAGUUGGUAGGGUAAAAGCCUACCAAGACCAUGAUGUGUAGCUGGACUGAGAGGUUGAACAGCCACAUUGGGACUGAGACACGGCCCAAACUCCUACGGGAGGCAGCAGUAGGGAAUUUUCGGCAAUGGAGGAAACUCUGACCGAGCAACGCCGCGUGAACGAUGAAGUAUUUCGGUAUGUAAAGUUCUUUUAUUGGAGAAGAAAAAAUAGUGGAAAAACUAUCUUGACGAUAUUCAAUGAAUAAGCCCCGGCAAACUAUGUGCCAGCAGCCGCGGUAAUACAUAGGGGGCGAGCGUUAUCCGGAAUUAUUGGGCGUAAAGGGUGCGUAGGCGGUUUGGUAAGUCUAUAGUUUAAUUUCAGUGCUUAACACUGUUCUGCUAUAGAAACUAUCAGACUAGAGUGAGAUAGAGGCAAGUGGAAUUCCAUGUGUAGCGGUAAAAUGCGCAAAUAUAUGGAGGAACACCAGAGGCGUAGGCGGCUUGCUGGGUCUUUACUGACGCUGAGGCACGAAAGCGUGGGGAGCAAACAGGAUUAGAUACCCUGGUAGUCCACGCCGUAAACGAUGAGUACUAAGUGUCGGGGAAACUCGGUACUGAAGUUAACACAUUAAGUACUCCGCCUGAGUAGUACGUACGCAAGUAUGAAACUUAAAGGAAUUGACGGGACUCCGCACAAGCGGUGGAUCAUGUUGUUUAAUUCGAAGAUACACGAAAAACCUUACCAGGUCUUGACAUACUCUGCAAAGCUAUAGCAAUAUAGCGGAGGUUAUCAGGGAUACAGGUGGUGCAUGGUUGUCGUCAGCUCGUGUCGUGAGAUGUUAGGUUAAGUCCUAAAACGAGCGCAACCCUUGUCACUAGUUGCCAGCAUGUUAUGAUGGGCACUUUAGUGAGACUGCCAAUGAAAAAUUGGAGGAAGGUGAGGAUCACGUCAAAUCAUCAUGCCCCUUAUGAUCUGGGCUACAAACGUGAUACAAUGGCUGUUACAAAGAGUAGCUAAAACGCGAGUUUAUAGCCAAUCUCAUAAAAGCAGUCUCAGUUCGGAUUGAAGUCUGCAACUCGACUUCAUGAAGUUGGAAUCGCUAGUAAUCGCGAAUCAGCAUGUCGUCGUAUUUUGUGGCC